Molecule: ribosomal RNA, 497 nt
Filed under: uncultured bacterium
Lineage: Bacteria
Description: partial 16S ribosomal RNA
Rfam family: Bacterial small subunit ribosomal RNA
Source: RNAcentral
GAUGAACGCUGGCGGCGUGCCUAAUACAUGCAAGUCGAGCGAACAGACGAGGAGCUUGCUCCUCUGACGUUAGCGGCGGACGGGUGAGUAACACGUGGAUAACCUACCUAUAAGACUGGGAUAACUUCGGGAAACCGGAGCUAAUACCGGAUAAUAUAUUGAACCGCAUGGUUCAAUAGUGAAAGACGGUUUUGCUGUCACUUAUAGAUGGAUCCGCGCCGCAUUAGCUAGUUGGUAAGGUAACGGCUUACCAAGGCAACGAUGCGUAGCCGACCUGAGAGAGUGGUCGGCCGCGCUGGAGCGGGGACACGGUGCAGACUCCUACGGGAGGCAGCAGGAGGGAAGAUUCCGGAAGGGGCUAAAACAUAACGAAUCAACGACGCGUGAGUGAUAAAGGUCUUCGGAUCGUAAAACUCUGUUAUGAGGCAAGAGCAGAUGUGUAGGUAACUAUGCACGUCUUGACGGUACCUAAUCAGAAAGCCACGGCUCACUACGUG